RNAcentral lists this ribosomal RNA (58 nucleotides) under Enterobacter cloacae. RNAcentral describes it as "partial 23S ribosomal RNA". The record is from RNAcentral. RNAcentral also lists the same sequence under 2 other names. Lineage: Bacteria; Pseudomonadati; Pseudomonadota; Gammaproteobacteria; Enterobacterales; Enterobacteriaceae.
GAUGCGUUGAGCUAACCGAUACUAAUGAACCGUGAGGCUUAACCUUACAACGCCGAAG